RNAcentral lists this ribosomal RNA (477 nucleotides) under uncultured bacterium. Its description in RNAcentral is "partial 16S ribosomal RNA". It matches the Rfam family "Bacterial small subunit ribosomal RNA", at positions 28 to 523 of the family's 1533-position model. The record is from RNAcentral.
GAUGAACGCUGACAGAAUGCUUAACACAUGCAAGUCAACUUGAAGCAGUUUCCGCUGUGGAUGGUGGCGGACGGGUGAGUAACGCGUAAAUAACUUGCCCUUUAGACUGGGACAACUGUUGGAGACGACAGCUAAUACCGGAUAUAUGAAACCUUGGCAUCAAGGGAUUAUGAAAGCUAUAUGCGCUAGAGGAGAGAUUUGCGUCCUAUUAGCUAGUUGGUGAGGUAAUGGCUCACCAAGGCGACGAUAGGUAGCCGGCCUGAGAGGGUGAACGGCCACAAGGGGACUGAGACACGGCCCUUACUCCUACGGGAGGCAGCAGUGGGGAAUAUUGGACAAUGGACCAAGAGUCUGAUCCAGCAAUUCUGUGUGUUUGAUGAAGGCCUUCGGGUUGUAAAGAACUUUAAGUAGGGAAGAAGAAAGUGACGGUACCUACAGAAUAAGCGACGGCUAAAUACGUGCCAGCCGCCGCCGUAA